This 523-nucleotide long non-coding RNA is filed under the name Coturnix japonica (Japanese quail). RNAcentral's name for it is "lncRNA (ENSCJPG00005016557.1)". Lineage: Eukaryota; Metazoa; Chordata; Aves; Galliformes; Phasianidae. The record is from RNAcentral.
CACACCUCUACAUCAAAGGCACCAGCAUCUCCUUCCCCGUGGCUUCAUCUGUGAAGAACUUCACAUUUUAUCACCAAUCUCCAUGACCAGGCAUGCCUUGGAUCUCACCUUCAGACUGUUUUAGAAACAAAAGGGGCACUAGUCACUUGACUGUUCAGCCACUCUUAUUUCUGAAUGGACCUUCACAUUUCCCAGACAAAUACUGGAAACGUUUCACCAACAGAUCAAGGCCCUGCUGGGGGGUGAUUCCAAGAGAAUAAGCAAAAUCCAGAACAUCUCCAGUGUCCACAAUUUGCAAGUAACAGAUUAUGACUGCAAAGCAUCUAUCAGCAUCAGUAGAGGAGAAGGAAAAAAAAUACCAAUUAUGAUGGAAGCUGUUUCCCUUCAAGGUAAGACAGCCAGUAUUAUGGCUCAGUUCAAGAAUCCUUACAGGAGAAAAAUAUGUACACUAAUAAGAAUAAAAAUAUACAAAUCCUGCCAGCACACAGCUGAGCCUGACCUCAGUCACAUACCUUAUGCCUAG